This 378-nucleotide unclassified non-coding RNA is filed under the name plant metagenome. RNAcentral's name for it is "partial contains 5.8S ribosomal RNA, internal transcribed spacer 2, and large subunit ribosomal RNA". The stretch from base 1 to 105 matches the Rfam family "5.8S ribosomal RNA", at positions 50 to 154 of the family's 154-position model. The record is from RNAcentral.
GAAAUGCGAUAAGUAAUGUGAAUUGCAGAAUUCAGUGAAUCAUCGAAUCUUUGAACGCACCUUGCGCUCCUUGGUAUUCCUUGGAGCAUGCCUGUUUGAGUAUCAUGAAAUCUUCAAAGUAAAUCUUUUGUUAACUCAAUUGGUUUCUACUUUGGUAUUGGAGGUCUUUGCAGCUUCACACCUGCUCCUCUUUGUUCAUUAGCUGGAUCUCAGUGUUAUGCUUGGUUCCACUCGGCGUGAUAAGUUAUCUAUCGCUGAGGACACUGUAAAAGGUGGCCAAGGUAUAUGCAGAUGAACCGCUUCUAAUAGUCCAUUGACUUGGACAAUACUUUUAUGAUCUAAGCUCAAAUCAGGUAGGACUACCCGCUGAACUUAAGC